CGAGGAUUUUCAGUCCUCUGCUCUACCAGCUGAGCUAUCCCGAC
Molecule: transfer RNA, 44 nt
Filed under: Odontites corsicus
Lineage: Eukaryota; Viridiplantae; Streptophyta; Magnoliopsida; Lamiales; Orobanchaceae
Description: partial tRNA-Phe
Source: RNAcentral